GGCACAUGGGGCACCUGAUCAUCAUGCCGCGUGUGUGAAGAAGGCCUUCGGGUUGUAAAGCACUUUUGUCAGGAACGAAACGGUGGGGGCUAAUACCUCCUGCUAAUGACGGUACCUGAAGAAUAAGCACCGGCUAACUACGUGCCAGCAGCCGCGGUAAUACGUAGGGUGCGAGCGUUAAUCGGAAUUACUGGGCGUAAAGCGUGCGCAGGCGGUUGUGCAAGACAGAUGUGAAAUCCCCGGGCUCAACCUGGGAAUGGCAUUUGUGACUGCACGGCUAGAGUGUGUCAGAGGGGGGUAGAAUUUCACGUGUAGCAGUGAAAUGCGUAGAUAUGUGGAGGAAUACCGAUGGCGAAGGCAGCCCCCUGGGAUAACACUGACGCUCAUGCACGAAAGCGUGGGGAGCAAACNAGGA
RNAcentral lists this ribosomal RNA (415 nucleotides) under uncultured bacterium. RNAcentral describes it as "bacterial SSU rRNA". It matches the Rfam family "Bacterial small subunit ribosomal RNA", at positions 367 to 778 of the family's 1533-position model. The record is from RNAcentral.